RNAcentral lists this ribosomal RNA (957 nucleotides) under Pedobacter sp. Its description in RNAcentral is "bacterial SSU rRNA". It matches the Rfam family "Bacterial small subunit ribosomal RNA", at positions 88 to 1048 of the family's 1533-position model. The record is from RNAcentral. Lineage: Bacteria; Pseudomonadati; Bacteroidota; Sphingobacteriia; Sphingobacteriales; Sphingobacteriaceae.
UAUGAAAGUGGCGCACGGGUGCGUAACGCGUAUGCAACCUACCUUAAUCAGGGGGAUAGCCCGAAGAAAUUCGGAUUAACACCGCAUAAAAACACAGGAUAGCAUUAUCCAAUGUUCAAAUAUUUAUAGGAUUAAGAUGGGCAUGCGUGUCAUUAGCUAGUUGGCGGGGUAAUGGCCCACCAAGGCGACGAUGACUAGGGGAUCUGAGAGGAUGACCCCCCACACUGGUACUGAGACACGGACCAGACUCCUACGGGAGGCAGCAGUAAGGAAUAUUGGUCAAUGGAGGCAACUCUGAACCAGCCAUGCCGCGUGCAGGAAGACUGCCCUAUGGGUUGUAAACUGCUUUUAUCUGGGAAUAAACCUUUCUACGAGUAGAGAGCUGAAUGUACCAGAAGAAUAAGGAUCGGCUAACUCCGUGCCAGCAGCCGCGGUAAUACGGAGGAUCCAAGCGUUAUCCGGAUUUAUUGGGUUUAAAGGGUGCGUAGGCGGCCUGUUAAGUCAGAGGUGAAAGACGGUAGCUCAACUAUCGCAGUGCCUUUGAUACUGAUGGGCUUGAAUAAACUAGAGGUAGGCGGAAUGAGACAAGUAGCGGUGAAAUGCAUAGAUAUGUCUCAGAACACCGAUUGCGAAGGCAGCUUACUAUGGUUUUAUUGACGCUGAGGCACGAAAGCGUGGGGAUCAAACAGGAUUAGAUACCCUGGUAGUCCACGCCCUAAACGAUGAAUACUCGCUGUUAGCGAUAUACAGUUAGCGGCUAAGCGAAAGCGUUAAGUAUUCCACCUGGGGAGUACGCUCGCAAGAGUGAAACUCAAAGGAAUUGACGGGGGCCCGCACAAGCGGAGGAGCAUGUGGUUUAAUUCGAUGAUACGCGAGGAACCUUACCCGGGCUUGAAAGUUAGUGAAUUAUUCAGAGAUGAAUAAGUGAGCAAUCACACGAAACUAGGUGCUGCAUGG